RNAcentral lists this ribosomal RNA (360 nucleotides) under uncultured crenarchaeote. RNAcentral's name for it is "bacterial SSU rRNA". It matches the Rfam family "Archaeal small subunit ribosomal RNA", at positions 562 to 922 of the family's 1478-position model. The record is from RNAcentral. Lineage: Archaea; Thermoproteati; Thermoproteota.
AUCGUUGGAUCGCGGGGGAUACUGCUUGGCUAGGGGACGAGAGAGGCAGACGGUAUUUUCGGGGUAGGGGUGAAAUCCUAUAAUCCCGGGAAGACCACCAGUGGCGAAGGCUGUCUGCUAGAACGCGCCCGACGGUGAGGGAUGAAAGCUGGGGGAGCGAACCGGAUUAGAUACCCGGGUAGUCCCAGCUGUAAACGAUGCAGACUAGGUGUUUGGACGGCCACGUGCCGUUCUAGUGCCGCAGGGAAGCUGUUAAGUCUGCCGCCUGGGGAGUACGAUCGCAAGAUUGAAACUUAAAGGAAUUGGCGGGGGAGCACCACAAGGGGUGAAGCUUGCGGUUUAAUUGGAUUCAACGCCGGG